AAAUGAGAAUUCUGAGUCUGAGAAUAAUUUAUCUUUCUGCUUCUUCUUGAAACACGAUUUGCAGAUGAGAUUAAUAGGUUAAUUUGACAAAUGAGCUGAUUAGUAAAAAAAAGAGAGACAUAAAUGCACACCUUGAAGUUGGGCAGGUGGGGGACCAAAGCUAGACGCGAGUCUGGAAAAGAGCAUGCCCUUGAAGGACUAGGGCUUUUUCAGAGGCUUGUGAAAUGGAAAACCGGAGGAGUCUCUUAUGGGACACAUAUCUACACGCGUAUGUUCAUAUGUAUAUAUGUUCGCACGUCUGUAGGGCCUGGGAUAUGCUGGCCUCCAGAAGGCAGCUGGCUAAGGUAGCUGACCAAGGCUCUGUCCCCAGGGCAAGUCUAUCUACAUCUUGUCUUCCCUAAUCCAGGCCCCAAACUGCUAGUUAACAAUUUUAACAGAAAGCUCCAGUACUUACGGUCUUUCUUAAAAGAUGCUAGACAGGUGGUGGCUGAAACACCCUGGGAAGUGAUAAAUCCAUAGGGGGAAACGUGGUUAAGAGAGCUCUGAAGAAUAAGGAGAAUGCAUGUAUAUAUUGUUCUUUCCAUUGCUAUCAAAAUCUAAGCUGAAUUUCUCUUAUUCUCCACUUAGUCACCUGUCAUUUACUCCUAACAGGGCCAUAAUGAGUCACGCUUGUCAAUGAAUCCUCCCUUUAAAGACAGCAGUAUUUGGGGACGGAGGGAUUCACCAAAGAGAAGUAACUCAAGAGGGCCUGAGAUCUGGAGGACUGUUGCUGGAGUGAGCUGGCAUAAUUGUGAUGCCCACCUCCAGACCAGACUAAUCGCAGGCAGAGAAACAGAGAGCAGGGAGGCAUGGUGAUGUCCAAGCCCAGCCGUAGAGUGGGACAUUAUCUGGAAAAGAAGGACACCCACCCCAGAAGGCCAGCUGGGGAGCUAUUGCAAUAGUGUGGUUGACACGAUGCGAGUUGGCAUUUGAGUUCUCCCUGGAAGCAUGGAGGAGUGUGGAUAGGAGACACCGCCAGUUCUGUUUACAGGUCACCACAGACCCGUUUCCCAAGCCAGUGAAAACCCACACUGUACCACAGAUGGAUUGUAACGGAUGGAUCUUUUUUCCAACAUGUGGCUUCCUGUAAUUUAAGGAAAUGUUAUACGUGAACAAUUAAAAUCAUAUAUCAAAAAAGAAGCA
Neofelis nebulosa (Clouded leopard) is the source of this 1182-nucleotide long non-coding RNA. RefSeq lists it as uncharacterized. Lineage: Eukaryota; Metazoa; Chordata; Mammalia; Carnivora; Felidae. The transcript is spliced from 3 exons. The record is from RefSeq and is a predicted model, not a curated record.